RNAcentral lists this transfer RNA (62 nucleotides) under Mesobuthus gibbosus (Mediterranean checkered scorpion). RNAcentral describes it as "transfer RNA-Arg". The record is from RNAcentral. Lineage: Eukaryota; Metazoa; Arthropoda; Arachnida; Scorpiones; Buthidae.
AAAUAGGGAGCGAGAAGUUGCGUUUAGUUUCGGCCUAAAAGUAUGGUUAAAACUCCUAUUUA